RNAcentral lists this ribosomal RNA (763 nucleotides) under uncultured Streptococcus sp. Its description in RNAcentral is "bacterial SSU rRNA". It matches the Rfam family "Bacterial small subunit ribosomal RNA", at positions 28 to 776 of the family's 1533-position model. Lineage: Bacteria; Bacillati; Bacillota; Bacilli; Lactobacillales; Streptococcaceae. The record is from RNAcentral.
GACGAACGCUGGCGGCGUGCCUAAUACAUGCAAGUAGAACGCUGAAGGAGGAGCUUGCUUCUCUGGAUGAGUUGCGAACGGGUGAGUAACGCGUAGGUAACCUGCCUGGUAGCGGGGGAUAACUAUUGGAAACGAUAGCUAAUACCGCAUAAUAGUAGAUGUUGCAUGACAUUUGCUUAAAAGGUGCAAUUGCAUCACUACCAGAUGGACCUGCGUUGUAUUAGCUAGUUGGUGGGGUAACGGCUCACCAAGGCGACGAUACAUAGCCGACCUGAGAGGGUGAUCGGCCACACUGGGACUGAGACACGGCCCAGACUCCUACGGGAGGCAGCAGUAGGGAAUCUUCGGCAAUGGACGGAAGUCUGACCGAGCAACGCCGCGUGAGUGAAGAAGGUUUUCGGAUCGUAAAGCUCUGUUGUAAGAGAAGAACGAGUGUGAGAGUGGAAAGUUCACACUGUGACGGUAUCUUACCAGAAAGGGACGGCUAACUACGUGCCAGCAGCCGCGGUAAUACGUAGGUCCCGAGCGUUGUCCGGAUUUAUUGGGCGUAAAGCGAGCGCAGGCGGUUAGAUAAGUCUGAAGUUAAAGGCUGUGGCUUAACCAUAGUACGCUUUGGAAACUGUUUAACUUGAGUGCAAGAGGGGAGAGUGGAAUUCCAUGUGUAGCGGUGAAAUGCGUAGAUAUAUGGAGGAACACCGGUGGCGAAGGCGGCUCUCUGGCUUGUAACUGACGCUGAGGCUCGAAAGCGUGGGGAGCAAACAGG